Calypte anna (Anna's hummingbird) is the source of this 424-nucleotide long non-coding RNA. RefSeq lists it as uncharacterized. The record is from RefSeq and is a predicted model, not a curated record. Lineage: Eukaryota; Metazoa; Chordata; Aves; Apodiformes; Trochilidae. The transcript is spliced from 4 exons.
CAACCCCACUGCCCCAGGGAGCUGAAUCAGGGCACCAGUUGCUCCUUCACCUUCUCCUGACAUGCAGGAAACCUGGAGGAACAAAAUCUGCUGGAAAUCACCCAAAACAGUCUGGACAUGGGCACAGGUGGAGUGGGGCCCAUUUCUACCCAGCCAGCACCCCCUCACACCCCAAAAAUGUCCUAAGGGGCCUGCAAGGACAGCUCCAAAGAUCCCCCUGGCUCCAAACGAAGGCAGAGGCUCGGCAGCGGUCACGGGAUUCCAGGAGCUGCUGCUUUAAAAAGAAAAUAAGGGGGCCCGGGAUUUGUUUGAGCCAUCGUUGUCUCAGUGAGUGACUUCGAAUAAGGGAUCCACUUGAGAAAAUCACCAUCUGCUCCCGGACAAUUCUCAACCAGAGGAAAAAGGUGAAAUAAAUUCAGAGAUU